GAGUUUGAUCGUGGCUCAAAUUGAACGCUGGCGGCAUGCCUUACACAUGCAAGUCGAACGGCAGCAUGAUCUAGCUUGCUAGAUUGAUGGCGAGUGGCGAACGGGUGAGUAAUACAUCGGAACGUGCCCUGUAGUGGGGGAUAACUAGUCGAAAGAUUAGCUAAUACCGCAUACGACCUGAGGGUGAAAGUGGGGGACCGCAAGGCCUCAUGCUAUAGGAGCGGCCGAUGUCUGAUUAGCUAGUUGGUGGGGUAAAGGCCCACCAAGGCGACGAUCAGUAGCUGGUCUGAGAGGGCGAUCAGCCACACUGGGACUGAGACACGGCCCAGACUCCUACGGGAGGCAGCAGUGGGGAAUUUUGGACAAUGGGCGAAAGCCUGAUCCAGCAAUGCCGCGUGUGUGAAGAAGGCCUCGGUUGUAAG
RNAcentral lists this ribosomal RNA (422 nucleotides) under uncultured microorganism. Its description in RNAcentral is "bacterial SSU rRNA". It matches the Rfam family "Bacterial small subunit ribosomal RNA", at positions 9 to 429 of the family's 1533-position model. The record is from RNAcentral.